GAUGAACGCUGGCGGCGUGCCUAAUACAUGCAAGUCGAGCGAACAGAUGAGGAGCUUGCUCCUCUAACGUUAGCGGCGGACGGGUGAGUAACACGUGGAUAACCUACCUAUAAGACUGGGAUAACUUCGGGAAACCGGAGCUAAUACCGGAUAAUAUAUUGAAUCGCAUGGUUCAAUAGUGAAAGACGGUUUUGCUGUCACUUAUAGAUGGAUCCGCGCCGCAUUAGCUAGUUGGUAAGGUAACGGCUUACCAAGGCAACGAUGCGUAGCCGACCUGAGAGGGUGAUCGGCCACACUGGAACUGAGACACGGUCCAGACUCCUACGGGAGGCAGCAGUAGGGAAUCUUCCGCAAUGGGCGAAAGCCUGACGGAGCAACGCCGCGUGAGUGAUGAAGGUCUUCGGAUCGUAAAACUCUGUUAUUAGGGAAGAACAAAUGUGUAAGUAACUAUGCACGUCUUGACGGUACCUAAUCAGAAAGCCACGGCUAACUACGUG
Molecule: ribosomal RNA, 497 nt
Filed under: uncultured bacterium
Lineage: Bacteria
Description: partial 16S ribosomal RNA
Rfam family: Bacterial small subunit ribosomal RNA
Source: RNAcentral